UUUGGUAAUGGCGGUCUCGUAAGCCCUCUUACCAGGUUAAGUAGUUCCCCAACUGACUUAACCUUCGAAAAACCGCCUCCCCAGGCGGUUUUUUCGU
This 97-nucleotide non-coding RNA is filed under the name Enterobacter cloacae. The record is from RNAcentral. Lineage: Bacteria; Pseudomonadati; Pseudomonadota; Gammaproteobacteria; Enterobacterales; Enterobacteriaceae.